This 92-nucleotide small nucleolar RNA is filed under the name Amborella trichopoda. Its description in RNAcentral is "snoRNA snoR64". It matches the Rfam family "Small nucleolar RNA R64/Z200 family". From Rfam's summary of the family: This family of plant small nucleolar RNAs belong to the C/D class of snoRNA which contain the C (UGAUGA) and D (CUGA) box motifs. This family includes Arabidopsis thaliana snoRNA R64 and Oryza sativa snoRNAs Z200 and J16. The record is from Rfam by way of RNAcentral. Lineage: Eukaryota; Viridiplantae; Streptophyta; Magnoliopsida; Amborellales; Amborellaceae.
UUUCUGCUAUGAUGAGUAUGGGUUUUAAUUCGCAUGUUAGACUUUAGAGAUGUAUUCAUCAAUGAGAAUAAAAACUCAAUUCUGAGCAGAUU